RNAcentral lists this ribosomal RNA (1108 nucleotides) under Vibrio parahaemolyticus. RNAcentral describes it as "bacterial SSU rRNA". It matches the Rfam family "Bacterial small subunit ribosomal RNA", at positions 407 to 1507 of the family's 1533-position model. The record is from RNAcentral. Lineage: Bacteria; Pseudomonadati; Pseudomonadota; Gammaproteobacteria; Vibrionales; Vibrionaceae.
GAAGAAGGCCUUCGGGUUGUAAAGCACUUUCAGUCGUGAGGAAGGUAGUGUAGUUAAUAGCUGCAUUAUUUGACGUUAGCGACAGAAGAAGCACCGGCUAACUCCGUGCCAGCAGCCGCGGUAAUACGGAGGGUGCGAGCGUUAAUCGGAAUUACUGGGCGUAAAGCGCAUGCAGGUGGUUUGUUAAGUCAGAUGUGAAAGCCCGGGGCUCAACCUCGGAAUUGCAUUUGAAACUGGCAGACUAGAGUACUGUAGAGGGGGGUAGAAUUUCAGGUGUAGCGGUGAAAUGCGUAGAGAUCUGAAGGAAUACCGGUGGCGAAGGCGGCCCCCUGGACAGAUACUGACACUCAGAUGCGAAAGCGUGGGGAGCAAACAGGAUUAGAUACCCUGGUAGUCCACGCCGUAAACGAUGUCUACUUGGAGGUUGUGGCCUUGAGCCGUGGCUUUCGGAGCUAACGCGUUAAGUAGACCGCCUGGGGAGUACGGUCGCAAGAUUAAAACUCAAAUGAAUUGACGGGGGCCCGCACAAGCGGUGGAGCAUGUGGUUUAAUUCGAUGCAACGCGAAGAACCUUACCUACUCUUGACAUCCAGAGAACUUUCCAGAGAUGGAUUGGUGCCUUCGGGAACUCUGAGACAGGUGCUGCAUGGCUGUCGUCAGCUCGUGUUGUGAAAUGUUGGGUUAAGUCCCGCAACGAGCGCAACCCUUAUCCUUGUUUGCCAGCGAGUAAUGUCGGGAACUCCAGGGAGACUGCCGGUGAUAAACCGGAGGAAGGUGGGGACGACGUCAAGUCAUCAUGGCCCUUACGAGUAGGGCUACACACGUGCUACAAUGGCGCAUACAGAGGGCGGCCAACUUGCGAAAGUGAGCGAAUCCCAAAAAGUGCGUCGUAGUCCGGAUUGGAGUCUGCAACUCGACUCCAUGAAGUCGGAAUCGCUAGUAAUCGUGGAUCAGAAUGCCACGGUGAAUACGUUCCCGGGCCUUGUACACACCGCCCGUCACACCAUGGGAGUGGGCUGCAAAAGAAGUAGGUAGUUUAACCUUCGGGGGGACGCUUACCACUUUGUGGUUCAUGACUGGGGUGAAGUCGUAACAAGGUAGCGCUAGGG